Astatotilapia calliptera (eastern happy) is the source of this 63-nucleotide microRNA precursor. NCBI's taxonomy places the organism in Eukaryota, Metazoa, Chordata, Actinopteri, Cichliformes, Cichlidae. The record is from Ensembl.
UGUAGAGCAGACUGGAUUCUCUGUCUCCCUUUUUAGAACGGAGGAUCUUUUUUGCUCUGCAGU